UAGGGAAUAUUGGACAAUGGGCGAAAGCCUGAUCCAGCCAUGCCGCGUGAGUGACGAAGGUCUUCGGAUUGUAAAACUCUUUUCUGAAGGAAGAACAAGCCCGGGAGGAAAUGCCCGGGCCCUGACGGUACUUCAGGAAUAAGGAACGGCUAACUCCGUGCCAGCAGCCGCGGUAAUACGGAGGUUCCUAGCGUUGUUCGGAAUUACUGGGCGUAAAGGGGGCGCAGGCGGAUAGGUCAGUGAAAAGUGGAAGCCCGGGGCUCAACCCCGGAAAGCCUUUUCAUACUGCCUAUCUUGAGUACGUGAGAGGAGAGCGGAAUUCAGGGUGUAGCGGUGAAAUGCUUAGAUAUCCUGAGGAACACCGAUGGCGAAAGCAGCUCUCUGGCACGCUACUGACGCUGAGGCCCGAAAGCGUGGGGAGCGAACGGGAUUAGAUACCCGCGUAGUCC
Molecule: ribosomal RNA, 449 nt
Filed under: uncultured prokaryote
Description: bacterial SSU rRNA
Rfam family: Bacterial small subunit ribosomal RNA
Source: RNAcentral